This 880-nucleotide ribosomal RNA is filed under the name uncultured bacterium. RNAcentral's name for it is "bacterial SSU rRNA". It matches the Rfam family "Bacterial small subunit ribosomal RNA", at positions 11 to 885 of the family's 1533-position model. The record is from RNAcentral.
GUUUGAUCAUGGCUCAGAUUGAACGCUGGCGGCAGGCCUAACACAUGCAAGUCGAACGCGAAAGUCACUUCGGUGGCGAGUAGAGUGGCGGACGGGUGAGUAACGCGUAGGAAUCUGCCCUGUAGUGGGGGAUAACCCGGGGAAACUCGGGCUAAUACCGCAUACGCCCCACGGGGGAAAGCGGGGGAUCCUUCGGGACCUCGCGCUAUAGGAAGAGCCUGCGUCGGAUUAGCUAGUUGGUAGGGUAAAGGCCUACCAAGGCGACGAUCCGUAGCUGGUCUGAGAGGACGAUCAGCCACACUGGGACUGAGACACGGCCCAGACUCCUACGGGAGGCAGCAGUGGGGAAUAUUGGACAAUGGGCGCAAGCCUGAUCCAGCAAUACCGCGUGUGUGAAGAAGGCCUUAGGGUUGUAAAGCACUUUCAACGGGGAGGAAUACCUUGGGGCUAAUACCUUCAAGACUGACAUUACCCGUACAAGAAGCACCGGCUAACUCCGUGCCAGCAGCCGCGGUAAUACGGAGGGUGCAAGCGUUAAUCGGAAUUACUGGGCGUAAAGCGUGCGUAGGCGGCCCGUUAAGUCAGAUGUGAAAGCCCCGGGCUCAACCUGGGAACUGCAUUUGAAACUGGCGGGCUAGAGUUGGGUAGAGGUAAGUGGAAUUUCAGGUGUAGCGGUGAAAUGCGUAGAUAUCUGAAGGAACACCAGUGGCGAAGGCGACUUACUGGACCCGAACUGACGCUGAGGUACGAAAGCGUGGGUAGCAAACAGGAUUAGAUACCCUGGUAGUCCACGCCGUAAACGAUGUCGACUAGCCGUUGGGCCCCUAUACGGGCUUAGUGGCGCAGCUAACGCAUUAAGUCGACCGCCUGGGGAGUGCGG